Molecule: long non-coding RNA, 316 nt
Filed under: Salvia miltiorrhiza (redroot sage)
Lineage: Eukaryota; Viridiplantae; Streptophyta; Magnoliopsida; Lamiales; Lamiaceae
Description: long non-coding RNA (SMIL_LNC001245)
Source: RNAcentral
ACAAACGAAUAAAUACAUAUGUGUAAUAUAAUGCACGAGAGAUGUUCAAAUAAUAAUUUUUAUUUAAAAUGAGAACAAAUAACAAUUAUGAGCUCUUCGAUCACGAAGAACUUUCCAUAAUAUUAUAAAUUACCUUUAUAAGUAUAUAAUAUUUAAUACAUGUGCACGUAUAAAUUUAAAAACGAAUAAAUACAUUAAUUUUGAAAACACGAUGAAUUUUGAAAAUAGCCUAUUUCUUUUAGUAAACUUAAAAAUUACCCACUAAAAAAAAAAAAACCACACUUACCAUUUUACCCUUGCAUAUAAAAAUUUAAAC